RNAcentral lists this ribosomal RNA (253 nucleotides) under uncultured bacterium. RNAcentral's name for it is "partial 16S ribosomal RNA". It matches the Rfam family "Bacterial small subunit ribosomal RNA", at positions 524 to 776 of the family's 1533-position model. The record is from RNAcentral.
UACAGAGACUGCAAGCGUUAUUCGGAUUCACUGGGCGUAAAGGGUGCGCAGGCGGUCGGGUGUGUCAGAUGUGAAAUCCCGAGGCUCAAUCUCGGAACUGCGUCUGAAACUACUCGACUAGAGUACUGGAGAGGGUAACGGAAUUCACGGUGUAGCAGUGAAAUGCGUAGAUAUCGUGAGGAACACCAGAGGCGAAGGCGGUUACCUGGACAGUUACUGACGCUCAGGCACGAAAGCGUGGGGAGCAAACAGG